AUUGAACGCUGGCGGCAUGCUUUACACAUGCAAGUCGAACGGUAACAGGCCGCAAGGUUCUGCCGAGUGGCGAACGGGUGCGUAAUGCAUCGGAACGUGCCCAGUCGUGGGGGAUAACUACUCCAAAGAGUAGCUAAUACCGCAUACGACCUAUGAUUGACAGCGGGGGACCGUAAGGCCUCGCGCGAUUGGUGCGGCCGAUGUCAGAUUAGGUAGUUGUUGGGGUAAAGGCUCACCAAGCCAACGAUAUGUAGCUGGUCUGAGAGGACGACCAGCCACACUGGGACUGAGACACGGACCAGACUCCUACGGGAGGCAGCAGUGGGGAAUUUUGGACAAUGGGCGCAAGCCUGAACCAGCAAUGCCGCGUGCAGGAAGAAGGCCUUCGGGUUGUAAACUGCUUUUGUACGGAACGAAACGGCUCUGGUUAAUACCCGGGGCUAAUGACGGUACCGUAAGAAUAAGCACCGGCUAACUACGUG
Molecule: ribosomal RNA, 482 nt
Filed under: uncultured bacterium
Lineage: Bacteria
Description: partial 16S ribosomal RNA
Rfam family: Bacterial small subunit ribosomal RNA
Source: RNAcentral